RNAcentral lists this ribosomal RNA (1179 nucleotides) under uncultured organism. RNAcentral describes it as "bacterial SSU rRNA". It matches the Rfam family "Bacterial small subunit ribosomal RNA", at positions 233 to 1419 of the family's 1533-position model. The record is from RNAcentral.
GCGUCCUAUUAGCUUGUUGGUGAGGUAACGGCUCACCAAGGCAGCGAUGGGUAGCCGGCCUUAGCGGGUGGACGGCCACACUGGAACUGAGACACGGUCCAGACUCCUACGGGAGGCUGCAGUGCUGAAUUAUUCGCCAAUGCGCGAAAGCGUGACGGUGCGACGCCGCGUGCGGGACGAAGGCCUUAGGGUCGUAAACCGCUGUCAGGGCUUCGGAAACCGUAGAGGUUAAUAGCCUCUGCGCUGACCAGGCCCAAAGGAAGCACAGGCUAAUCUCGUGCCAGCAGCCGCGGUAAUACGAGAUGUGCGAGCGUUGUUCGGAAUUACUGGGCAUAAAGGGUGCGCAGGCGGCCAUGUAAGUCAGGUGUGAAAUCCCUCGGCUCAACCGGGGAAUUGCAUCUGAUACUGCAUGGCUUGAGAACGAAAGGGGCAAGCGGAAUUCCAGGUGUAGCGGUGGAAUGCGUAGAUAUCUGGGAGAACGCCAAUGGCGAAGGCAGCUUGCUGGGUCGUUUCUGACGCUCAUGCACGAAAGCUAGGGGAGCAAACAGGAUUAGAUACCCUGGUAGUCCUAGCUGUAAACGAUGGGUACUAGGUUCCGGGAUUCCUGAUGAUUUCGGAGCCGCAGUUAAUGCGUUAAGUACCCCGCCUGGGGAGUAUGGUCGCAAGGCUAAAACUCAAAGGAAUUGACGGAGGAGCGCACAACCGGUGGAGCAUGUGGUUUAAUUCGAUACAAAGCGAAAAACCUUACCUGGGUUUGACAUAUACCUGCACGUUCUAUGAAAAUAGAAUUUCUUCGAGAGUGGUAUACAGGUGAUGCAUGGCUGUCGUCGGCUCGUGUCGUGAGACGUCCGCUUAAGUGCGGUAACGAGCGCAACCCUUGUCGUCAGUUAUACGUAUCUGACGAGACUGCCCUGCUGCUAGCAGGGAGGAACGAGAGGACGACGUCAAGUCAGCAUGUCCCUUACAUCCAGGGCUACACACAUCCUACAAUGGGACUGACAACGGGUAGCGACAGGGCAACCUUGAGCUAAUCCUUAUAAACUGUCCCUCAGUUCAGAUUGCGGGCUGCAAUUCGCCCGCAUGAAGUCGGAAUCGGUAGUAAUCGCAAAUCAGCAGGUUGCGGCGCAACGUUCUCGCUCCUUGUACACACUGCCCGUCAAGCCAGCAAAGUCGGCAGCA